UGUUCCCUCAUUCCCCUCUCCCUCCUUCCUUCCUUUCUGCCUUCUUCCGUUUCUCCUUCCUUUCCUCCCAUGAUGCAUUUGUCCUACUUCCCUGACUCUCCCCUUCUCUUCUGUUCUCCUCACCCAGUUCAAAUACAUGUCAUGCAGCUGUAGUGGCCCCUCUAGGUUCUGAACUUAUGGGUCCAGUGAGGGUUCCUUGGAUUGGGAUUGUUUUGUGACAGUUCAUGGCUCUGGUGGAUGAGCUACACACACACACACACACACACACACACACACACACACACACACACACAUCUCACACAUGUACAUAACACACACACCUCACAAAUAUUGGACCCAGGCCCGUACUAGAAGCAGCUUUUGUUUGCUUGCUUGUUGGUCUGUAUUUUGUUUUGUUUUUAAAAUAAAUUUCAUUACUCACUUCUGCACCUGGGGAAAGAUUUAAUGUCUGGCUCUGCUCAGAAACUGCUAAUCUUUGGCUUCGGUGCCUGCUUCUGACCUGGAUCGCCAGGCGGCAGCCAUCGUUAGGCUGCUGAUGUAUCCACCUACUCUGAGUUUCCAGGGGCUUUUACAGGAAAACGCUACAGAGCACUUCCGGGGGUGGGGCGGGGCGGGGCGGGGCGGGGCCUGGUCAGCUCCUUACCUCUGUGAUGAAAUUCGUAAGGUGAUUUGCAUAUAAGGAUAAUUCUCGGGGGUUCGUUGAUCCAGUCAGUUGAUCUAACUGCCUUUGAGCCUGUACGGAGCCUGAGGCUAAGAUGCUGCUCACAUCUGUCAGCACUAAGUGAACAGCAGCCACUCUCUCAGCAUCGCUUGCCUACUUCCUGCUGUGAGGUCAAAGGCACAAAUUAACAGCGCGCACGCACGUCCUUAGCAUCCAAGUCCACAUCCCGGCCCUCUGGCUGUCCUUAUGAGCAAGAUCGUUUUGCCAUUUUGGAAUGUGACUCUGUGUCGCUGAGAUGCUCCUACCAAGCCUCUCGUUUCUGAUUUUCCACGGCCUUAAAGCCGCCAUCUGGUGCAAGGCUGGGAAGGACACUGGGAGAUCCCUGUGCAGCCUCUGGCCUCAGGCCUGCCCCCCAGGGCCGAGAGAAACAAUUUCAUCUCAGUCAGAGCUUUCCUCCCAUCUUCGGAGGCUUGGCCUUUUGCAUAGGUCUGGCUCUCCCUCCAGGGAGUCUAUUCCGUGCUGAUGGACGGUCACCGCUGGAACACUCUGAAAGGUUUGAACUAUCGAAAAGAUUUUGUGUUUCAGACCAACCUUGCUUUGUAAAUCAUCCUGGUAUCUCCAGUCUAAAUACCAACAGUGGGGACAGCUUGUGAUUAACCUCUCCCCUCCAAGAAGCAACCAGCAACAAUGAUUCUUCCUUCAAGAACAAUGUAACCAGUUUUUAAUAAAGCCAAAAGAUUCCUGCCCAGA
This 1411-nucleotide small RNA is filed under the name Rattus norvegicus (Norway rat). RNAcentral describes it as "uncharacterized LOC102549163". Lineage: Eukaryota; Metazoa; Chordata; Mammalia; Rodentia; Muridae. The record is from RNAcentral.